Molecule: long non-coding RNA, 453 nt
Filed under: Homo sapiens (human)
Lineage: Eukaryota; Metazoa; Chordata; Mammalia; Primates; Hominidae
Description: HSALNT0053130
Source: RNAcentral
CUAGCUUAUUAUUUGCUUCCUGUGUGCCUGCUUGUCUACCUAGCAUAGUAGGCCAAAGGUCCAAAGGCAUUUAGCAUUCCUAGGGGAAAUUGUGGCUGUUUUUCUGAGCCAGAUCUCUUGAUUUGGGUUUACACGGAGUCCUUUCAUGGACUAUCCUGAGUAUUGUCAGUAAAACGUCUUGGGGCAUAAGAACUUGUCUGAAUCUGUCAUACAUACCACUGCUGUCUUUUCCGAGUGGUAUUACAAGAAAGAUUUUUGUGGUGUGUUUGUUCUAAGAGAAAUGCCAAGGCUUUCAGAUAAAGAUAAGAUGAUAAUGAUUGACAUUGUUCUGCUCUUUUAUUUGGGUAAAAAAGGAAAGUUGAGGGGUCAGAACACAGUAGCCUGAUUAGUACCAUUCUGUUUUGUCACACUGUUCCCCAUUAGCUUGUACCAGUUCUCCUCUUCUCGGGGAUG